Molecule: ribosomal RNA, 253 nt
Filed under: uncultured bacterium
Lineage: Bacteria
Description: partial 16S ribosomal RNA
Rfam family: Bacterial small subunit ribosomal RNA
Source: RNAcentral
GACAGAGGGUGCAAACGUUGUUCGGAAUUACUGGGCGUAAAGCGCGUGUAGGCGGCUCUGCAAGUCGGGUGUGAAAUCCCACGGCUCAACCAUGGAAGUGCACUCGAAACUGCAGGGCUAGAGUCCUGGAGAGGAAGGUGGAAUGCUUGGUGUAGAGGUGAAAUUCGUAGAUAUCAAGCGGAACACCGGUGGCGAAGGCGGCCUUCUGGACAGUGACUGACGCUGAGACGCGAAAGCGUGGGGAGCAAACAGG